GCGAUCAUACUAUUAUUAAUGCAUUGGAUGUCAUUAGAACUCCAAAGUUAAACAUACUUGGGUAAGAGUAAUACCAAAAUGGGUGACCCCUGAAAAAUCAUCGUAUUACACCCC
Non-coding RNA from Ilex paraguariensis (yerba mate), 114 nucleotides. The record is from the annotation of a GenBank genome assembly. Lineage: Eukaryota; Viridiplantae; Streptophyta; Magnoliopsida; Aquifoliales; Aquifoliaceae.